GGACAGAUGGCCGAGAUGGUUAUGGCGCCAGGUUAAGGUUAUACCUUAAUUACAUGUGAUAUAUCAAUCACAUAGUUUCCUGGUCACGAAAGUGGCGUGGGUUCGAGUCCCACUCUGUUCA
This 121-nucleotide transfer RNA is filed under the name Pseudogymnoascus sp. VKM F-4513 (FW-928). It matches the Rfam family "tRNA". Rfam says of the family: Transfer RNA (tRNA) molecules are approximately 80 nucleotides in length. Their secondary structure includes four short double-helical elements and three loops (D, anti-codon, and T loops). The record is from Rfam by way of RNAcentral. Lineage: Eukaryota; Fungi; Ascomycota; Leotiomycetes; Thelebolales; Thelebolaceae.